AUUUAUUUAAUCGACUGUCCCUCCUUUUGAAUUAGUCUGAUGUUUCCUCACAAUUAGAUUCCGGUUGUACCUUUUUGGCAGGAAAACCACAGAGGUGAUAUCAUGUCCUUCAGCACACAUACAUCAGGAGAUAUAUGCUAUCAAUCUGUCCCAUUUGUCCCUUGCGAUGUUAACUUUGAUCAUUUGAUUCAGGUGGGGAUUAUCAGUCCUCUCUACUGUAAAGUUAUUAUUUUUCUCUUUGAAAUCAAUAGGUGUUUUAUGAGGAUCUACUUUGAGAUUGUGUAAAUACACUGUUUCUCAUCAAAUUUUUACCCACUAGUUUUAACAUCCCUUGAUAAUUCUUGCCUGAAUCAUUAAUGACUCUAAGGUUUACCAAAUGGUCAUUUUCUAAUUUUAUCAUUUCUUAUACCUAUAUUAGUUGUAAUUUUACUCUAAGGAAAGCCUUUUUCUUUUUCUCCAUUUAUUUAUUUGCUUAUAUUAAUAUGGACUUAGAUUUUCACAUUUUAUCCAAUUUAUUAUUAUUAUUAUUUUAGAUGAAGUCUCCCUUUUGUCAUCCAGACUGGAGUGCAGUGGUGUGAUCUCGGCUCACUGCAGCCUCCGCUUCCUGGGUUCAAGCAAUUCUCCCGCCUCAGCCUCCCGAGUAGCUGGGAAAACAGGUGCUCACCACCAUGCCCAGCUAAUUUUUGUAUUUUUAGUAGAGAUGGAGUUUCACCGUGUUGGCCAGGCUGGUCUCGAACUCCUGACCUCAGGUGAUCCACCCGCCUUGGCCUCCCAAAAUGCUGGGAUUACAGGCAUGAGCCACCGUGCCCAGUUGAUUAUUAUUAUUAUUUUUUAAAAGUUCAGAUUGUCCAAGAUUUGAAUGGGAGCUCCUUCCAGCUUCUUCUUCUUCUUCUUCUUUUUUUUUUUUUUUUUAUUGAAACAGGGUAUCUUUUACUACAUAGCACAGGCUGGAGUGCAGAGUGGCUAUUUACAGAGGUGAUCAUGGCUCACUGCAGCCUCAAACUCUUGGGUUCAAGCAAUCCUCCCACCUCAGCCUCCUGACUAGCUGGGACUACAGGUGCAUGUUACUGCCCCCCAGCUAGGGUUAUUUUUGAAGGUGGAUUCUCCAAAACUCUGGUCCAGGCUAUUUCUCCAAAUUAUGAAUGUUUAAACAGCAUUCAAGAAUCUAAUUUUUAACAUUAUGAGAAAGCACAGCAUCUAUGCCAGUGAAUUUUAGAGUUCCAACGAAAUAACAAGAUGUUUAUUUACAUACAUUUUAUAAUCUUCCUAAAGACCAGACUCAUUUCCUAAGUGAGGACAUGACUUCCUCUCUCUUCUCCCGGUCCUGAUGUAUGUCCAGUCCAUUUCACAGUAGACCUACUGAGGAAGUAGCAGGGUAGAGAGGAGAGUCAGGGAAGUGGGAAGGUGAGAGAGAAGUAGGGAGGAAAAGGAACAGGAGGAGAAAGAACUCCUCUCCUCUCCUCAUUUGUUCAGACGGUCUGGCACCUACAGCCUCCUCAUGUCCCCCAGCCCCACUGCCCCCUCCUGGAAGUCAGCGCACUGCUGCCGCUGGCAUUCACAUCGUGUCGGCAGGACGCCGCGUUGUCAGAGGUUAGAGACAGCCACUUUCAUCUCAGAAAAGGGGCCGGGAGAUGACCUGGGUUAUAUAGAAGGAACUCAAGUCUUCUUGCCGCAGAAAUGCCACUGGAAGGGAUGGAGGAGAGAAAACCCGGUUGUAUGAUGUCUGCAUUGCCCUCCUCGCUGGAACUCACCACAGGCUGGAGGUGCUUCCGGCAGAACCGAGCUCCGGGGAAAGCCUGUGAUAAAUCAUCUCUGUCUUUACUAGCCAAGGGUUGCUAUGGCAAUAGGAAUACACUGUAGGUUUUAAGAGAUGUAAUUUUCUGUGAUUCACUGUAUAUUUUUAGCCAUUUUUCCCUCUGUAUUAUCUCCCUGUGGUAAUUGCCUAUUAAUGCUGGUCUGUACUAAGAUUGGACUAAACGGUCGAUUCUCAGAAGAGAUGAAAACCCUGGAGCUCAGCUGAUGCGUGCUUCUGAACAGCUGACCCUGAGGCCUUCAUCCACCUCUUGACCAGGACCCCCUCAUCAGGGCUUCCAUCCAGGAAUUUGAGAAGGAUUUAAACACCAUGAAGAAAAAGAGUUUGCUGUGAAAUUUGUGGAGGGAAGAGCAAUAAAAAGUCAACAUCUCCCAGCGGGACAGGACGAGUGCGCUGCUAUUUCCCGAAAGGCGCUCAGGAAGGGCCCUGCCUCCGGGUGGGGAGGAGAGGCGGGCAGCCUGGACUUAACCAGAGCCUGCCAGUUGCUCGUGUUUAUUGAGGGCCAUCUGCUCUCAGGGCCCUCAAUCUUGUACUCGGUCUAUUUGGAAAAGGAUUUAAAGGGCAAAGAAAAUAAUAUCUUCAUCUACUAUUCGGGCUUUUCCAGGACAAUACUGAUUUCAAAUAUUUUAUCCUCCUGUCGCCUUAAGCUAUCACAAAUGUUUUAGAAAUCCCAACUUCGUAGUGUCUAAAUGGAAUUUUCAGAAUUGCCUGUAAACCUCUUACCUUCUGCAGCACAAAAUCCUUUCUCUGAACACACAUCUCAGAUUUUUGGCUGGGAUAAUACAGUCAUCAUAGAAUACUGAACAGAAGGAAUUUCAAGGAAGGCAAUUUAAAGUUAGAGGGAAGAGCAGUAAAUGUAAAACUAUAAACAAAUAAAAAUGAAAUAAUAGCUCGUUCUUAUUGAGAGAUUUAGUGCCGUGCUUAUGGUUGUGGAUACUGAAGCCAGUCUCUCUGGGUUCAUAUCCCAGCUUUGAUACUUACUAGCUGUGUGACCUGGACAAGCCAGUUAACCUCUCUGUGCCUCAGUUUCCUCAUCCACUAAAAUGUGGAGAAUGGUACAGGGUUAUGAGGGUUUCGU
RNAcentral lists this long non-coding RNA (2891 nucleotides) under Homo sapiens (human). Its description in RNAcentral is "HSALNT0377541". The record is from RNAcentral. Lineage: Eukaryota; Metazoa; Chordata; Mammalia; Primates; Hominidae.